Molecule: ribosomal RNA, 508 nt
Filed under: uncultured bacterium
Lineage: Bacteria
Description: partial 16S ribosomal RNA
Rfam family: Bacterial small subunit ribosomal RNA
Source: RNAcentral
GAUGAACGCUAGCUACAGGCUUAACACAUGCAAGUCGAGGGGAAACGAUAUUGGAAGCUUGCUUCCGAUAGGCGUCGACCGGCGCACGGGUGAGUAACGCGUAUCCAACCUGCCCAUCACUUGGGGAUAACCUUGCGAAAGUAAGACUAAUACCCAAUGACGUCUCUAGAAGACAUCUGAAAGAGAUUACAGAUUUAUCGGGGAUGGACGGGGAUGCGUCUGAUUAGCUUGUUGGCGGGGUAAGGGCCAACCAAGGCGACGAUCAGUAGGGGUUCUGAGAGGAAGGUCCCCCACAUUGGAACUGAGACACGGUCCAAACUCCUACGGGAGGCAGCAGUGAGGAAUAUUGGUCAAUGGACGAGAGUCUGAACCAGCCAAGUAGCGUGCAGGAUGACGGCCCUAUGGGUUGUAAACUGCUUUUAUAAGGGAAUAAAGUGAGAGUCGUGACUCUUUUUGCAUGUACCUUAUGAAUAAGGACCGGCUAAUUCCGUGCCAGCAGCCGCAGUAA